This 2738-nucleotide long non-coding RNA is filed under the name Monomorium pharaonis (pharaoh ant). RNAcentral describes it as "uncharacterized LOC114255475, transcript variant X1". The record is from RNAcentral. Lineage: Eukaryota; Metazoa; Arthropoda; Insecta; Hymenoptera; Formicidae.
UCCUUAUCACCGUACAACACACGGAAAAUGGCAGCCCUACUAUACUCGGGCGACCAAUGCUUGCCAACUCGCGCACUGACACGCACUACUUGACAGGGCUCCAGCGGAAAUAACGCGGAGCAAGUGUCCCGCGCGGCCGCGACAACCUCGGCGCUCACUUCCGGCGGUCAGUGGGGUCACGAGGAACAACGGUCAUGCACUACCGUCGGCCGAGUCCACGUCAAAUUCGGGGAAGAAAACGUUCGCCAAUACGAAACCGUUGUUUACGACGCGACACCGCGUACGUUCUGCAAUUGGCCCCGCAUCGCGUUGGCAUCACUGUAUGCAGUUGACUGUCGGGCGCGAGCGACUGUUGGCUUCGCUGCGAGAUGGCGAUAAGCGGCAACUUCAGGCGACGCGCCACGUCGGUAGAUCAGUUCGCAGCUGCGCCCGUCUUCCGUUACCGUAGCGAUUUUCUCGAUCGACUGAGCGACUCCGAACAGCUGAGUCAUGAGUGUGUCCUGUGAAUUCGAGGAGUUUCGACGGAAGGAAACUUGAGAGCGGCUACGAUUGCAUGCAGUUUUAACUAAUUUAUUGUUGCGCAUCAGUGUCUCAGGAGGCCGUCAGCUGAAAAUUGUAGAAGCAGAUUGUGGGAAACGACGACGUGAGUAUCGAGACAAGGGAGAGAAAGGUAAGGGAGGACCACAAUAUCACAACGAUAAAUCCAUCGGGAGUUGAUCAGCCGAGUCUGCACCCAGUGCACGUAUUCUUGGCAUAUCCACUUGGCGUGACCAGGAAGGGACGCCAUCUUGAGGGUUUCCUCGCUCCACCUGCGAGGGUGAUUCUUUAUUGUUUCAAUAAGCACGGCACAGGUCCAGCCUUAUUAACGAAAUAAACCUCUUUUAACGGCGCUGCCGCGCUCCGCUUCUCGCUCUUCCUCCUCUUCUUCCUUUUUCUUUUCUUUUCGCUUCUUCCUGGUUUCUAUACCGCUCGCAAAAAACGCACGGGAGUCAAGUAAGCCUGCGGGAGAGGAAAAAGCUCCUUGGCGAAGACGAGAGAGAUUCGGCAAGGAUAAGAGAGGAGCGGAAAGGGACCGAGGGAUUCUUGAAAGAGUUCUCUUUCAGAGGAGUCCAAAGAGAGAAUCGAUAGGUUUUUCCGCGGGUUUCCAUGGAGACCGCGAGGCGAAUCGGACUGUACACGCGAUAAGCGACGAAGACGUGGAAAGAGCAUCGCCGCAGUGGCGUAAGCGCCAUCCCCUUUUUCGUUUCUCGCUGCCUUUUCCUGUCGACGAGAUUACAUAAGUUCCCUCCUGCGCCGUGCGCGCACAAUAAGACCGUUUCGCGUCACAAACGUAAUGCCACGAAUGAAUGAAUAAAUGUAACUCAACUUAGAAAUGCCAUCGAUGACAUUUUCCGCGAAACCAUCUUUAACUUACAUACAUCUUUGUUCACUAUGUUUACAUCAUGAGUAAAAUUGAUUUAAUCUAAAUCUUGAUGUAGCAACAUUUUAUCUAAUCUUAUUCUCAUGAUUGCGGCAAAAGUUUUGUUUCGUAAAAGAUACAAUUUGUUAAAUGUCUUUAAUAUGGCGACCUUACACGAUCAAUAAUACUAUCAGUAUCCCAAUAAAUACUGACAAUUUCAUUGAUUGUGUGCUAAAUAUUGAUGGAUUGACGUGGAAUGGUCCAUCUAUAAUAGAUGUCUACAAUAAGCCAUAAGCAAUUAACCGAUCACAGUCGAGUGAGAGGAGAAUAAUUAACUAGGAUGAAUAUACCAGAAUAUUGAUGGUGAUCUAAAGUUUUUUAUUCUCAAGCCUCAAUAUCAUCGUGUGAUAGAGAUAUUGACAGUGUUAAUGAUUUUGUGAAGAAGACGUGUUAAUAUUUUCGUCAGUACAGUUUUCCACAAUGACGAAGUCGCAGAAAUCGUAAAAAUAAUUUUAAAAAUAUUGAUACAUACAUACUAUCAGUAUCAUCACUGGUUUAAUAUUACUAAUCAAUAUAAACCGUGUAAGAUUCUUAACACACUUUUACGUUAACUCUAAUUGCGACGUCAGCCAAUGGUAACAAAAAAUGUUUUUACAAAAACAGAAAAUGGCGGCUGUAACUGACUUGGAAGAAAUUUUGCAACUGGAGAGGAAUCGGUUAAAGGGUCCACCUGUCAGUUCCUCCCACUUUUCCUUUCUUCUCGGUCCGUUUCUCUGUUGUAACAGAGUGUGCGGAUCCUUGGCACCGAACGACGUCGUCCGGUUCUCUUAACUGCCUUUACUUGCCGCGAUCGCCAUUAGGUUGAGUACGAUUGUGUUGGAGGCAUCGCCAGAGGUCGGCCAUUUUGCUAAGAUCGUUUCUCAUCUUUUACGAUGUUCGACACACCGUCGCUUAGCCGCCGCCGUCGCCGCGUGUCGUUUCAGCCCCGCGAGAAACAAUUGAAUGUCCCCGAGUUUAUUUUCGGAAGCCUUAAUUUAAUUUUCGUCCCGCUGAGGGAGCGCGGAAGAAAGAUGAAGAAGGAGAAAGAGAGAAAACCCAUAGGAAAAGAGGGUAAAGGAGGAAUGAAACGAGUGACCGUAGUUCAGAGACGAGUCUUUUGUUUCCUACCGCGCUUGUGCUUGCAAUGGUCUUUUUAAGUCACGUCGACCUUCCUGAAGAGAAGAUGCUGAUGUCCACUAAUGCGACUUGUCCGAUAAAUUGUAAAACUAACAUAUUUUAAAGAAAUGUAUAUUUUACAUGAGUUCUAUAUAAGGCACAUACAUUAAUGAUUCAAUUCCUA